UGGGACUAGGCAAGGCCUCUUGGUCAGCGA
This 30-nucleotide non-coding RNA is filed under the name Homo sapiens (human). Lineage: Eukaryota; Metazoa; Chordata; Mammalia; Primates; Hominidae. The record is from RNAcentral.